AACUUUCAACAAUGGAUCACUUGGCUCUCGCAUCGAUGAAGAACGCAGCGAAUUGCGAUAUGUUAAUGUGAAACGCAGAACAGUGAAUCAUCGAAACUUUGAACGCAUCUUGCGCUCUCCGGGCUUCCGGAGAGCAUGCCUGUCUGAGUGUCGCUAAACAACCAUAGGCCGAAAGGUCUGAUUCGGAUGUGUGCCGUGGUCGGCUCCGUCUUAGAUGCAUUUGGAACGUGGCCGUCUCGCUGGCUUCUCGGAGGACAUUCGAUCGUAAUCGCUUUCGUGCGUCUCCCCUUGAGCUGCGAGGAGGCUCCCCUCCGCGGUGGCCCUCGCGGUGCCGUGGUGCUUGGAAUUCGUCUAGUGUCGUGGCCUCAGAUCAGGUAGGACUACCCGCUGAACUUAAGCAUAUCAAUAAGCGGAG
RNAcentral lists this unclassified non-coding RNA (415 nucleotides) under uncultured Agaricales. RNAcentral's name for it is "sequence contains ITS2". The stretch from base 1 to 153 matches the Rfam family "5.8S ribosomal RNA". Lineage: Eukaryota; Fungi; Basidiomycota; Agaricomycetes; Agaricales. The record is from RNAcentral.